GACAGAGGGGGCAAGCGUUGCUCGGAAUUACUGGGCGUAAAGGGCGCGUAGGCGGGAUGGCAAGUCGGUCGUGAAAUCCUUCGGCUCAACCGAAGAACGUCGAUCGAUACUGCUGUUCUUGAGGGUUGCAGAGGAGACUGGAAUUCCCGGUGUAGCGGUGAAAUGUGUAGAGAUCGGGAGGAACACCGGUGGCGAAGGCGGGUCUCUGGGCAAUUCCUGACGCUGAGGCGCGAAAGCGUGGGGAGCAAACAGG
RNAcentral lists this ribosomal RNA (253 nucleotides) under uncultured bacterium. Its description in RNAcentral is "partial 16S ribosomal RNA". It matches the Rfam family "Bacterial small subunit ribosomal RNA", at positions 524 to 776 of the family's 1533-position model. The record is from RNAcentral.